GGCGGAAAUAUUUCCGUGUUUCCUGGUUAAGUUUCAUUCAUGCGAAUCUGAGUUAUAGAACAGCCUACCACAGGAAAGCAUGCAGUUCUUAUCGGUUUCAGAGAUUUCGUUACGACUAGUUCAGGAUCUUGUCCUUGAUAAUCUUCUGAAGGUCCUCCACCCCACUCCACGAGUCCGGCUCUACUGUGGUGUACAGGCAAGGGAGGCUUUCCAGCUCCUUCUCCUUCAAGCGGCACAUCUUAAGGAAGUCCUCCUCUGAGUCCACUUUCAGCGGCAGCCUUCUACAGGAAAAUUGAAGUAAAACUUCAUAAAGAUA
Long non-coding RNA from Conger conger (European conger), 316 nucleotides. RefSeq lists it as uncharacterized. NCBI's taxonomy places the organism in Eukaryota, Metazoa, Chordata, Actinopteri, Anguilliformes, Congridae. The transcript is spliced from 2 exons. The record is from RefSeq and is a predicted model, not a curated record.